UGCUUGUCUCUGAGACUAAGCCAUGCAUGUGUAAGUACAACAGUACUAAAGUAAAACUGCGAACGGCUCAUUAAAUCAGUUAUAAAUGAUUUAGAUAUUUCCCUUUAAAUGGAUAACCCUAGUAAUUCUAGAGCUAAUACAUGAUAAAAACUCUGAAGAAUACUUAUUUGUAUUCGGAGGGGUGGUUUACUUUCUUUAUUAAAACCAAAUGGGGUUAAUAACCCAAUCUAGAGGAAACAAAGGAUAACAAUCUACAUCACAGUGAUCUUUAUUGAUCGGUGACAGUCUAAACAUAUUUCUGACCUAUCAACUGUCGAUGGUGUAAUAGUUGUACACCAUGGUUGUUACGGGUAACGGGGAAUUAGGGUUCGUUCUAUAGAAGGGGCCUGAUAGAAAGCUACCACUUCCAAGGAAGGCAGCAGGCGCGCAAAUUACCCAAUCUCGAUCCGAGGAGGUAGUGACAAGAAAUACCAAUAUAGGAACCAAUGGUUACUAUGUUUGGAAUGUGUACGAUUUAAAUAACCUGCGUAGGAACUAUUGGAGGACAAGUCUGGUGCCAGCACCCGCGGUAAUUCCAGCUCCAAUAGCGUAUGUUAAAGUUGCUGCAUUUAAAAAGCUCGUAGUUGUAAACUGGGACAGGUCCUUCUUAACUCGAUGAUGGGGGAGAUUUGAUCAUUUCAUUUUUCCCUUUAAUUAUCGAGUUUAUUCGGAAUGGAACGAGUUCUCUUAUAUGAUUCUAUAAAGUACAUUUAAUUACUUUAAUACUUAUUUUACCUUUCAUUUUUAAUUUAUUAAUUUUGAUCGGUUUAUUUGGAUGGUUUUAGAUCGUAUUGUAUCAUCAUAUUACCUUGAAGAAAUCAAAGCGCCUAAAGCAAGUUUUUUAGGCUAGAAUGAAUUAGCAUGGGAUAAUGGAAUAAGACAUUGAUCUUGAUUUGUUGGUUUCUACAAGCAAUGUACAUGAUUAAUAGGGAUAGUUGGGGCCACUUGUAUUGAACCGUCAGAGGUGAAAUUCUAGGACCGGUUCAAGACAACCUACUGCGAAAGCAUCUGGCAAGGAUGUUUUCAUUAAUCAAGAACGAAAGUUGCGGGCGCGAAGAUGAUCAGAUACCGUCGUAGUCGCAACUAUAAACUUUGUCGCCCAAGGGGUAGUGGUAGUUACAUGAUGACACCCCUAUAACUUUGUGAGAAAUCAUAAGGAUUUGGACUCUGGGGGAAGUAUGGUCGCAAGGCUGAAACUUAAAGGAAUUGACGGAAGGGCACCACCAGGAGUGGAACCUGCGG
Molecule: ribosomal RNA, 1281 nt
Filed under: Quadrulella symmetrica
Lineage: Eukaryota; Tubulinea; Elardia; Arcellinida; Hyalospheniidae
Description: bacterial SSU rRNA
Rfam family: Eukaryotic small subunit ribosomal RNA
Source: RNAcentral